This 302-nucleotide ribosomal RNA is filed under the name uncultured eukaryote. RNAcentral's name for it is "SSU rRNA". It matches the Rfam family "Eukaryotic small subunit ribosomal RNA", at positions 111 to 414 of the family's 1831-position model. The record is from RNAcentral.
UAUAGUUUAUUUGAUGGUCAAUUGUUAUUUGGAUAACUGUGGUAAUUCUAGAGCUAAUACAUGCACAAAGACACGACUUCAGGGAAGUGUCGUAUUUAUUAGAUACAGAACCAAUCGGUUUCGGCCGUUUUUGGAUGAUUCAUAAUAAAUGAACGGAGCGCAUGGCUCGUGCCGGCGCUGUAUCAUUCAAGUUUCUGACCUAUCAGCUUUCGACGGUAGGGUAUUGGCCUACCGUGGCAUUGACGGGUAACGGAGAAUUAGGGUUCGAUUCCGGAGAGGGAGCCCGAGAAACAGCUACCACA